UGGGGAAUAUUGCACAAUGGGCGCAAGCCUGAUGCAGCCAUGCCGCGUGUGUGAAGAAGGCCUUCGGGUUGUAAAGCACUUUCAGCGGGGAGGAAGGCGAUAAGGUUAAUAACCUCAUCGAUUGACGUUACCCGCAGAAGAAGCACCGGCUAACUCCGUGCCAGCAGCCGCGGUAAUACGGAGGGGGCAAGCGUUAAUCGGAAUUACUGGGCGUAAAGCGCACGCAGGCGGUCUGUCAAGUCGGAUGUGAAAUCCCCGGGCUCAACCUGGGAACGGCAUUCGAAAAUGGCAGGCUAGAGUCUUGUAGAGGGGGGUAGAAUUCCAGGUGUAGCGGUGAAAUGCGUAGAGAUCUGGAGGAAUACCGGUGGCGAAGGCGGCCCCCUGGACAAAGACUGACGCUCAGGUGCGAAAGCGUGGGGAGCAAACAGG
Molecule: ribosomal RNA, 429 nt
Filed under: Chloroflexota bacterium
Lineage: Bacteria; Bacillati; Chloroflexota
Description: Chloroflexi bacterium partial 16S ribosomal RNA
Rfam family: Bacterial small subunit ribosomal RNA
Source: RNAcentral